UACCAUUUUUGCUCCGGAGGGAGUGAGCUGA
RNAcentral lists this non-coding RNA (31 nucleotides) under Mus musculus (house mouse). Lineage: Eukaryota; Metazoa; Chordata; Mammalia; Rodentia; Muridae. The record is from RNAcentral.